GACGAACCGUACGAACGUUAUUCGGAAUCACUGGGCUUAAAGGGUGCGUAGGCGGCGCGACAAGUUGGGUGUGAAAUCCCUCGGCUCAACCGAGGAACUGCGCCCAAAACUGUCGUGCUCGAGGGAGACAGAGGUGAGCGGAACUUAGGGUGGAGCGGUGAAAUGCGUUGAUAUCCUAAGGAACACCGGUGGCGAAAGCGGCUCACUGGGUCUCUUCUGACGCUGGGGCACGAAAGCUAGGGUAGCGAACGGG
This 253-nucleotide ribosomal RNA is filed under the name uncultured bacterium. Its description in RNAcentral is "partial 16S ribosomal RNA". It matches the Rfam family "Bacterial small subunit ribosomal RNA", at positions 524 to 776 of the family's 1533-position model. The record is from RNAcentral.